Molecule: ribosomal RNA, 253 nt
Filed under: uncultured bacterium
Lineage: Bacteria
Description: partial 16S ribosomal RNA
Rfam family: Bacterial small subunit ribosomal RNA
Source: RNAcentral
UACGUAGGGACCAAGCGUUGUUCGGAUUUACUGGGCGUAAAGGGCGCGUAGGCGGCAAUUCAAGUCAUCUGUGAAAUCUCCGGGCUUAACUCGGAACGGUCAGAUGAUACUGCUUUGCUAGAGUGCGGAAGGGGCAAUCGGAAUUCUCGGUGUAACGGUGAAAUGCGUAGAUAUCGAGAGGAACACCAGAGGUGAAGACGGGUUGCUGGGCCGACACUGACGCUGAAGCGCGAAAGCCAGGGGAGCAAACGGG